ACAGAACAUUCUGUUUCCCUCAGAACAACGGAAAUCAGUCCCAGUGGGUGGGGCACCGCUACCCAGACUCUGUGUUUUUAGUAAUCUUAGUAAUUCAGGGUAAUUUCAGUGUAGCUGCUGGCUAAUUCAAAGGGAAUGAAUGGGUGGGGUGUAAAGCCGGCCCCGCAGUGGGCGUGUGUGGCCCAAUUUUGCCACAAGAGGGAGCCACCUGUUCACUUCGGGUGUGUUGCUUCAGGGAAGGUCUUGGUUUUUUUUUUCUUCCCAGUUAUUUUGUUUAUCCAAAUUCCUAAGCAAAAAUGAAGGUGAAAACACAGGCAUUGGUCCAGUUCAUUGUGGUUUGUUAAGCUCAGUGAGGGUGAUAAGAUUUGUAACUCUUUAAGUCAAUACCCACAGCUGGUGCUCUGAAACCAGAAGGUCCACGUGUUAGAAAAUGAAUUUCAGUGGUUUUGUUUUUCUCUGGGAGAGCGACUUUCAGUAUGAAAGUAUGAAACCACAUUUUCACUCCGUAUCAACAAGAAUGGUGGUUUUGUCAGCAUGUUCUCUUCUGCCCAGAGCAGCGGAGCCCUGACAGGCCCCUUUAGAAGGGUCAAGGUCUAACUGCGCCCUGUCCACGUGUGAGAGCCUCUUAGAGACCCUUGAAGGGAAACUUGCCUCCCCAUCUGAGUCAUUUCUUCACUCCCGAAAUCACAGAUUUACGUUUCUUUGAUGGCUCAUCGUGAAAUCCUUUUAAAACGUCAGAAUCUGUUAAAAUAUUGGGAGCUGCUAUUAUUUUAUAAUGUCAAUGAAUGAUUGCUCCUUCUGGUGCAUUUUGGUGAAAGACCUACUGAAAUUUUCUAACAUGAUAAAUUGUGAUAAUAGAUGUAUAUAAAUAGCAUACCAGUGAUUUAACUUCUUGGAAACGUUCUGAGUACCACUUAGGACUUAUUAAAAUAAAAGCAGUUUGUUU
Molecule: long non-coding RNA, 946 nt
Filed under: Bos taurus (domestic cattle)
Lineage: Eukaryota; Metazoa; Chordata; Mammalia; Artiodactyla; Bovidae
Description: long non-coding RNA NONBTAT015816
Source: RNAcentral